This 1024-nucleotide ribosomal RNA is filed under the name Lafontella mariadeanei. RNAcentral's name for it is "12S large subunit rRNA". The stretch from base 483 to 1024 matches the Rfam family "Trypanosomatid mitochondrial large subunit ribosomal RNA". The record is from RNAcentral. Lineage: Eukaryota; Euglenozoa; Kinetoplastea; Trypanosomatida; Trypanosomatidae.
UGUUGUUUUAUAUUUAGUUUAAUAUAUUUUUAAAAUAUUAACACAUGAUAUANNNNNAAGUAUCUAAAAUUUCUUGAACUGUUAUUUAUAGUUUUAUAUUUUUUAUUUAAUGUUUAAAUAUUUAAUUAUUGAUGCUAUCACAGUUGUUUUAUAUGUCCCUAACAAAAAUAGUAAGAGCCUUUAAUUAAAUUAAUAAAUAAUUAUUCAAAUAAUAUUAUGAAUAUUAUGAAAAUUAUAAAAAUUAUAAUAUAUAAUCCAAUAAUAUGUAUUACUAAAAUAUAUUUAAUUGAAUAUUAAAAGUACCAAUUUAAUUUGAAAUUUAUAACAAAUAUACGUUUUAAUUAUGGAAUUAAAAUAAAAAGAAUAAAAAUAUUUUAAUAUUUAAUAUUUGUUAACCAAAAAGUAACCAUAAAGAAUAAUAAGUAUUAUUAUUAAAAAUAUAAUUAUAAAAAUACAAAAAUAUUGUUAAUAAAAUUAUCAAAUUUCAAAAGCAUUUAUUAAAUGUGCCUGUCUAAGUAAAAUAUUUAAGAUAAUUCUUGUAUAUACCUUUAAAAUUAAAUAAUUCUAAUCAAAUAAUUAAGUACCAAAUCCAAUUUAUCAAGUAGCAUAGUAAUUUGUUAACUAAUUAUUAAAGUGUUCCAUAGAAAAUUUUAAAAUUAAAACAAACAACGUAACUAAUAAAUUAAAAUAAAGAUUUUAAUAAAAACCAAAAAAUUAAAAUAGGGCAAGCCUACUCUCCUUUACAAAGAGAACAUAAAUAUAUGUAAUUGUAUGUUUGAUUGGGGCAAUACUAUAUCUAAAUAUAUAGAAAAAGAGCUAUAAUUAUUGAAAUAAUAAAAGGUUCGAGCAGGUUAACAAGCAUUAAAACUAAAUGUGUUUCAUCGUCUACUUAUUACUAAUAAAAUUGAUUGUUCAUCAAAAUUGUAAUUCGUUAGUUGGGUUAAAAUCGUUGUAAAGCAGAUUUGUUUAUAUAUUUAAUUAUAAAAUAAUAUUAAAAUCAAAAUUAGUACGCAAGGAUCUUUAU